AUUGAACGCUGGCGGCAGGCCUAACACAUGCAAGUCGAACGAGUGGCGGACGGGUGAGUAAUGUCUGGGAAACUGCCCGAUGGAGGGGGAUAACUACUGGAAACGGUAGCUAAUACCGCAUACCAUCGGAUGUGCCCAGAUGGGAUUAGCUAGUAGGUGGGGUAACGGCUCACCUAGGCGACGAUCCCUAGCUGGUCUGAGCGGAUGACACCCCCCACUGGAACUGAGCCACGGUCCAGACGCCACCACUACCACCACUUAUUUAAUAUUGCACAGUGUGCGCAAGCCUAGUACGGCCAUGCCGCGUGUAUGAAGAGCUCCUUCGGGUUUUAAAGUCCUUUCAGCGAGGAGGCGUUACUCGCAGAAGAAGCACCGGCUAACUCCGUGCCAGCAGCCGCGGUAAUAC
Molecule: ribosomal RNA, 406 nt
Filed under: uncultured bacterium
Lineage: Bacteria
Description: partial 16S ribosomal RNA
Rfam family: Bacterial small subunit ribosomal RNA
Source: RNAcentral